RNAcentral lists this ribosomal RNA (484 nucleotides) under uncultured bacterium. Its description in RNAcentral is "partial 16S ribosomal RNA". It matches the Rfam family "Bacterial small subunit ribosomal RNA", at positions 30 to 507 of the family's 1533-position model. The record is from RNAcentral.
AUUGAACGCUGGCGGCAGGCCUAACACAUGCAAGUCGAGCGGGUGAAGGGAGCUUGCUCCUGGAUUCAGCGGCGGACGGGUGAGUAAUGCCUAGGAAUCUGCCUGGUAGUGGGGGAUAACGUCCGGAAACGGGCGCUAAUACCGCAUACGUCCUGAGGGAGAAAGUGGGGGAUCUUCGGACCUCACGCUAUCAGAUGAGCCUUGGUCGGAUUAGCUAGUUGGUGGGGUAAAGGCCUACCAAGGCGAAGAUCCGUAACUGGUCUGAGAGGAAGAUCAGUCACACUGGAAGUGAGACACGGUCCAGACUCCUACGGGAGGAAGCAGUGGGGAAUAUUGGGCGAUGGGCGAAAGCCUGAUCCAGCCAUGCCGCGUGUGUGAAGAAGGUCUUCGGAUUGUAAAGCACUUUAAGUUGGGAGGAAGGGCAGUAAGUUAAUACCUGACUGUUUUGACGGUACCAGCAGAAUAAGCACCGGCUAACUUCGUG